Non-coding RNA from Lolium perenne, 410 nucleotides. The record is from RefSeq and is a predicted model, not a curated record. NCBI's taxonomy places the organism in Eukaryota, Viridiplantae, Streptophyta, Magnoliopsida, Poales, Poaceae.
CUAGGGAUAAUUCUAGGAGACAGAACAUAAAAACGGAGACAAAGCUGGAUACCUGGCAUUAUCAAAGUUUUGGUUACAAGUAAUUCUCAUCGGAGAAGGGAAUCAGCAUAAACGGUUUAGGUAAACAUUAAUAAAACAACGCAUACUUCCACCAAACAUGAGCGAAAAGAAGUACCUCUCCUCCUCGGCGCCGCUUGGCCGAUGGAGCAUAUUCUGCCAUAUCAGCUGGAGUACGUCUCUUUGCUGCUCGAUUCCUUUCAGGUACCUUUCUGUCAUUUCUAUACGGCCGGUGAUCCAGAACGUCGUCAUCUCGAAAUUCAUGUUUUUUCUUUUUCUUGUUUUUCUUCUUUGCCUUCUGGAGCUCUUCCUCCCUGCUUGCUUCAUACAUCCUAGCUUCAAUUAACCUCUGU